AACGCACAUUGCGCCCGCCAGAAUUCUGGCGGGCAUGCCUGUUCGAGCGUCAUUUCAACCCUCGAGCUCCCCUCUUUUGGGAGAGCCCGGCGUUGGGGACCCGGCGCUAACACCGCCGGCCCCGAAAUGGAGUGGCGGCCCGUCCGCGGCGACCCCUGCGUAGUAACAUCCACUCGCACCGGGACCCGGGCGCGGCCACGCCGUUAAACACCCCACCUUCCGAAUGUUGACCUCGAAUCAGGUAGGAAUACCCGCUGAACUUAA
Molecule: unclassified non-coding RNA, 264 nt
Filed under: uncultured Parengyodontium
Lineage: Eukaryota; Fungi; Ascomycota; Sordariomycetes; Hypocreales; Cordycipitaceae
Description: partial contains 5.8S ribosomal RNA, internal transcribed spacer 2, and large subunit ribosomal RNA
Source: RNAcentral